UGGGGAAUAUUGGACAAUGGGCGAAAGCCUGAUCCAGCCAUGCCGCGUGAGUGACGAAGGCCUUAGGGUUGUAAAACUCUUUCGUCGGGGACGAUAAUGACGGUACCCGAAGAAGAAGCUCCGGCUAACUUCGUGCCAGCAGCCGCGGUAAUACGAAGGGAGCUAGCGUUGUUCGGAAUCACUGGGCGUAAAGCGCACGUAGGCGGAUAGUUAAGUCAGGGGUGAAAUCCUGGGGCUCAACCCCAGAACUGCCUUUGAUACUGGCUGUCUCGAGGUCGAGAGAGGUUGGUGGAAUUCCUAGUGUAGAGGUGAAAUUCGUAGAUAUUAGGAAGAACACCAGUGGCGAAGGCGGCCAACUGGCUCGAUACUGACGCUGAGGUGCGAAAGCGUGGGGAGCAAACAGGAUUAGAUACCCCUGUAGUCCCUGAGCGGGCUGGCAAGGCGCAU
RNAcentral lists this ribosomal RNA (447 nucleotides) under uncultured bacterium. RNAcentral describes it as "bacterial SSU rRNA". It matches the Rfam family "Bacterial small subunit ribosomal RNA", at positions 355 to 825 of the family's 1533-position model. The record is from RNAcentral.